UGAGUAUAACACACCCAACAGGAAUCAGGGGUCAUUGUGAUGAGGGGGACAAAACUUGUGUCCUCUCUAUGAACAUAUUACUUACAUGU
RNAcentral lists this small nucleolar RNA (89 nucleotides) under Otolemur garnettii (small-eared galago). RNAcentral describes it as "Small nucleolar RNA SNORA11 (ENSOGAG00000031604.1)". It matches the Rfam family "Small nucleolar RNA SNORA11", at positions 41 to 129 of the family's 129-position model. Rfam says of the family: U107 (SNORA11) is a member of the H/ACA class of snoRNAs that guide the sites of modification of uridines to pseudouridines. This snoRNA was identified by RT-PCR from blood cells and its expression confirmed by Northern blot analysis. The record is from RNAcentral. Lineage: Eukaryota; Metazoa; Chordata; Mammalia; Primates; Galagidae.